This is a long non-coding RNA of Delphinapterus leucas (beluga whale), 1673 nucleotides long. RefSeq lists it as uncharacterized. The record is from RefSeq and is a predicted model, not a curated record. NCBI's taxonomy places the organism in Eukaryota, Metazoa, Chordata, Mammalia, Artiodactyla, Monodontidae.
CUUCCGACGGGUCCCCCGGGUCAAGACGCGACCGGGGAUCGUAAGGGACCGAAACUGCGUACAAUCUAGACGCGCUCCAGCUGUGGCGCCUGGGGAGGGCCGCUGGGCCUCGGACAGUCUGGGGUCUCCUGAGGUGAGGACAGCAGACGCCAACCUCCUCCCACCCUCGCGAGGGUCUUAGGCUCCGCCCGCGGGUCGGGAAAUCGCGCCGCGGCGCCCUCUAUAGGCUCCCGGCCACUGGGGAAUCUUGGCGACUCACUGCGAAGACACGUCGAAGCGGACAUCCCGGUCCUCCCAAAGCGCAUCCAGCACCGACAUGGUGACCGCGGCGGGGAAGGCCUAACGGCGUCUCGCCGGCUCCAAGACAACGGGCCGCCUCUGGCACGACGUCUACGGCGGGCGCCGAGACCCAAACUUCCUCCAGGUAGUGUGCGCGCUUUCCCGGCCCUGUGGUGUAGUUAAGCGGAUUUGAGGCUCCAGGCAGGUUUCCGUGCCUCAGAGAAGCAGAACUGGCCCUGGCGCAGGAGCGGGUGCUUGACUUCUGAGUGACCUUCCGCACCUCCAGACUCGCCUUCUUAAGCCGUUCCUCCCCACCCACCCCCUUCCGUUCCUCUCCCUACACUGUCGGGAAAUUUAGCCUUAGGGACUUCCCAGGCGGUUCACUGGUUAGGACUCCGCGCUUCCACUACUUGUGGCCUUGGUUCCAUCCCUGGUGGGCCAACUAAGAUUCCGCAAGCCGCGUGGUGCGGUCUGAAAAAAGAAAGAGAGAAAUGUAGACUUAAAACUCGAAAUUCCUCGUCUGGCUCUGCCUCCUCCGGCCCAGCCCACCUCAUGCCGUCCUCGCGCCUUCUGCUUGCUCUCCAACUAGGCAGGGCUCAGCACCUUUGGAGGGCGCCCCCUUUCUCUGUCUAAACUCUCGUUCUCCAGAUCUCUACCUGGCCCGUCCUUUGUCACUUCAGCCUCAGCUCAAAAGUGAACUAAAGCGGUCCUUAACCUUUCUUCUCUCGCUCUGCUGUGAGUACCUUGAGGACAGAGUUCCCUUUGAACCCACGCGAGCACAGAGUAGGCAUUCGUCUCCCUUUGAGUGUACAGAGGAGUUUUUUAGAAGCCACAUGAUGUGAAAUUGAAUGUGAAAGAGAUAUGAGAAAACAGCUGUCUUAAUAUCAAGAUGGAUGUUAAAAAAGAUUUGCAAAAAGGCUGGAUCUCAGCUGACUGGAGCAAGAGAGACUCUCCUGCUUGCCUUGAAGAAGCCACCUGCUAUGAUACCGCCUUUAAGGCCAGCGGUCUCACGUCCUAUAGGUGCAAGGAGCUGAAAUCUGCCAACAACCUGAAUGAGCUUGGAAGCAGAUCCUUCCCCAGUAAAACUUCUGAUGAGGCCUUAGCCCCAGGAAGUAUCUGGAUUGCAGCCUGGUUGUGACCCUAAGCAGAAAACCCAGUGUCCAAGUUAUGAGAGAGCCACAUGUCUAGGAACUGAGGGCAGCCUUUAAGAGCUGAGAGCCAGCAAGAAAACGAUAACUCCAGUCAUCCAACCACAAGGAACCAAUUCUGCUAAGGAACCUGAAUGAGCCUGGAAGAGGACCCCAAACCUCAGAUGAGAUCACAUCCCUGCAGACACCUUGAUUCCAGGGCUUCCCUGGUGGCACAGUGGUUAAGAAUCCGCCUGCCAGUGCAGG